CCUACGUGGUGCAGCAGUGGGGAAUAUUGGACAAUGGGCGAAAGCCUGAUCCAGCCAUGCCGCGUGUGUGAAGAAGGCCUUCGGGUUGUAAAGCACUUUCAGUGGGGAAGAAAGCCUUGGGGCUAAUACCCUCGAGGAAGGACAUCACCCACAGAAGAAGCACCGGCUAACUCCGUGCCAGCAGCCGCGGUAAUACGGAGGGUGCGAGCGUUAAUCGGAAUUACUGGGCGUAAAGCGCGCGUAGGCGGUCUGAUAAGCCGGUUGUGAAAGCCCCGGGCUCAACCUGGGAACGGCAUCCGGAACUGUCAGGCUAGAGUGCAGGAGAGGAAGGUAGAAUUCCCGGUGUAGCGGUGAAAUGCGUAGAGAUCGGGAGGAAUACCAGUGGCGAAGGCGGCCUUCUGGACUGACACUGACGCUGGGGUGCGAAAGCGUGGGUAGCAAACAGGAUUAGAUACCCUUGUAGUC
Molecule: ribosomal RNA, 465 nt
Filed under: Vreelandella stevensii
Lineage: Bacteria; Pseudomonadati; Pseudomonadota; Gammaproteobacteria; Oceanospirillales; Halomonadaceae
Description: partial 16S ribosomal RNA
Rfam family: Bacterial small subunit ribosomal RNA
Source: RNAcentral